CCUACGGGUGGCAGCAGUGAGGAAUAUUGGUCAAUGGGCGGGAGCCUGAACCAGCCAAGUCGCGUGAAGGAAGAAGGUACUUAGUAUUGUAAACUUCUUUUGUCGGGGAACAAAGGCGGAGACGCGUCUCCGGAUGAGUGUACCCGAAGAAAAAGCAUCGGCUAACUCCGUGCCAGCAGCCGCGGUAAUACGGAGGAUGCGAGCGUUAUCCGGAUUUAUUGGGUUUAAAGGGUGCGUAGGCGGGCAUUUAAGCCGGCGGUCAAAUGUCGGGGCUCAACCCCGGCCUGCCGUCGGAACUGGGUGCCUUGAGUGGGCGAGAAGUAUGCGGAAUGCGUGGUGUAGCGGUGAAAUGCAUAGAUAUCACGCAGAACCCCGAUUGCGAAGGCAGCAUACCGGCGCCCUACUGACGCUGAGGCACGAAAGUGCGGGUAUCGAACAGGAUUAGAUACCCCUGUAGUC
Molecule: ribosomal RNA, 459 nt
Filed under: uncultured bacterium
Lineage: Bacteria
Description: partial 16S ribosomal RNA
Rfam family: Bacterial small subunit ribosomal RNA
Source: RNAcentral